UACGUAGGUGGCGAGCGUUAUCCGGAAUGAUUGGGCGUAAAGGGUGCGUAGACGGCAGAGCAAGUCCGGAGUGAAAGCCCGGGGCCCAACCCCGGGACUGCUCUGGAAACUGUUAAGCUGGAGUGCGGGAGGGGCAGGCGGAAUUCCUGGUGUAGCGGUGAAAUGCGUAGAUAUCAGGAGGAACACCGGCGGCGAAGGCGGCCUGCUGGACCGUGACUGACGUUGAGGCUCGAAAGCGUGGGGAGCAAACAGG
Molecule: ribosomal RNA, 253 nt
Filed under: uncultured bacterium
Lineage: Bacteria
Description: partial 16S ribosomal RNA
Rfam family: Bacterial small subunit ribosomal RNA
Source: RNAcentral